Poecilia latipinna (sailfin molly) is the source of this 213-nucleotide long non-coding RNA. RefSeq lists it as uncharacterized. NCBI's taxonomy places the organism in Eukaryota, Metazoa, Chordata, Actinopteri, Cyprinodontiformes, Poeciliidae. The transcript has 3 exons. The record is from RefSeq and is a predicted model, not a curated record.
AUUCACUGUCAGUUGUACUUUAAAGAUGGACGAGGCCAGACUGUAGGCAAACUGUGCUGAACUUUUUGACAGGAGAGCGAGCUAGGGAAACCGUGCUGUCCAUUUUGAUACCUAAUCUUGGAACUAUAAAACUUCAUUUCUGGCCGACACGGCAAAACAUUUGGACACCACUGGAUUAGAGGAUGCAAAUGGGAAAUGCUUUACAAUUUUUGC